RNAcentral lists this ribozyme (116 nucleotides) under Aedes aegypti (yellow fever mosquito). Its description in RNAcentral is "drz-agam-1 ribozyme". It matches the Rfam family "drz-agam-1 ribozyme". The record is from Rfam by way of RNAcentral. Lineage: Eukaryota; Metazoa; Arthropoda; Insecta; Diptera; Culicidae.
UGCCCAACAACUCCUAUCCCAACCUCCUCGUGGUACUGGCCAGGGUACGAGUAACCUUAGGGAAGACCGUGUAACCAACCCCGGUGGGAGCUUUGGUCAUCUGCUGACAGAGAAGG